AGUGAACGCUGGCGGCGUGCUUAGCACAUGCAAGUCGAACGAGAACGGAUUAUAGCUUGCUAUAAUUGUCAGCUAAGUGGCGCACGGGUGAGUAAUGUAUAGGUAAUAUGCCUCUUACUAAGGGAUAACAAAUGGAAACGUUUGCUAAUACCUUAUACUCCUUAUUAACAGAAGUUAAUAAGGUAAGAUUUAUUGGUAAGAGAUUAGCCUGUAUUGUAUCAGUUAGUUGGUGGGGUAAUGGCUUACCAAGACUAUGACACAUAACUGGUUUGAGAGGAUGAUCAGUCACACUGGAACUGAGACACGGUCCAGACUCCUACGGGAGGCAGCAGUGGGGAAUAUUGCACAAUGGACGAAAGUCUGAUGCAGCAACGCCGCGUGGAGGAUGACACAUUUCGGUGCGUAAACUCCUUUUAUAUGAGAAGAUAAUGACGGUAUUAUAUGAAUAAGCACCGGCUAACUCCGUGCCAGCCGCCGCCGUAA
This 483-nucleotide ribosomal RNA is filed under the name uncultured bacterium. RNAcentral's name for it is "partial 16S ribosomal RNA". It matches the Rfam family "Bacterial small subunit ribosomal RNA", at positions 29 to 523 of the family's 1533-position model. The record is from RNAcentral.